AAGUCGUAACAAGGUUUCCGUAGGUGAACCUGCGGAAGGAUCAUUACCGAGUGAGGGCCCUCUGGGUCCAACCUCCCACCCGUGUUUAUCGUACCUUGUUGCUUCGGCGGGCCCGCGCAAGGCCGCCGGGGGGCAUCUGCCCUCUGGCCCGCGCCGCCGAAGACACCAUUGAACGCUGUCUGAAGAUUGCAGUCUGAGCAAUUAGUUAAAUAACUUAAAACUUUCAACAACGGAUCUCUUGGUUCCGGCAUCGAUGAAGAACGCAGCGAAUGCGAUACGUAAUGUGAAUUGCAGAAUUCAGUGAAUCAUCGAGUCUUUGAACGCACAUUGCGCCCCCUGGUAUUCCGGGGGCAUGCCUGUCCGAGCGUCAUUGCUGCCCUCAAGCACGGCUUGUGUGUUGGGCUCCGUCCUCCUCCCGGGGACGGGCCGAAGGCAGCGGCGGCACCGCGUCCGGUCCUCGAGCGUAUGGGGCUUCGUCACCCGCUCUGUAGGCCCGCCGGCGCUUGCCGACACAUCAAUCUUUUUUCCAGGUUGACCUCGGAUCAGGUAGGGAUACCCGCUGAACUUAA
RNAcentral lists this ribosomal RNA (569 nucleotides) under uncultured fungus. Its description in RNAcentral is "eukaryotic LSU rRNA". The stretch from base 219 to 370 matches the Rfam family "5.8S ribosomal RNA". The record is from RNAcentral. Lineage: Eukaryota; Fungi.